UCGGGAAUCUUGGGCAAUGGGCGAAAGCCUGACCCAGCAACGCCGCGUGAGGGAUGAAGUAUUUCGGUAUGUAAACCUCGAAAGAAUGGGAAGAAUAAAUGACGGUACCAUUUAUAAGCUCCGGCUAACUACGUGCCAGCAGCCGCGGUAAUACGUAGGGAGCAAGCGUUGUUCGGAUUUACUGGGCGUAAAGGGCGCGUAGGCGGCGCGGUAAGUCACUUGUGAAAUCUCUGAGCUUAACUCAGAACGGCCAAGUGAUACUGCUGUGCUAGAGUGCGGAAGAGGCAACCGGAAUUCUUGGUGUAGCGGUGAAAUGCGUAGAUAUCGAGAGGAACACCUGAAGCGAAGGCGGGUUGCUGGGCCGACACUGACGCUGAUGCGCGAAAGCCAGGGGAGCAAACG
This 402-nucleotide ribosomal RNA is filed under the name uncultured bacterium. Its description in RNAcentral is "bacterial SSU rRNA". It matches the Rfam family "Bacterial small subunit ribosomal RNA", at positions 355 to 774 of the family's 1533-position model. The record is from RNAcentral.